RNAcentral lists this ribosomal RNA (499 nucleotides) under uncultured bacterium. RNAcentral's name for it is "partial 16S ribosomal RNA". It matches the Rfam family "Bacterial small subunit ribosomal RNA", at positions 28 to 507 of the family's 1533-position model. The record is from RNAcentral.
GGCGAACGCUGGCGGCGUGCCUAAUACAUGCAAGUCGAGCGGACUGAAUGGGAGCUUGCUCUUGUUCGGUCAGCGGCGGACGGGUGAGUAACACGUGGGCAACCUGCCCGCAAGACCGGGAUAACUCCGGGAAACCGGAGCUAAUACCGGAUAACACCGAAGACCGCAUGGUCUUUGGUUGAAAGGCGGCGCAAGCUGCCACUUGCGGAUGGGCCCGCGGCGCAUUAGCUAGUUGGUGAGGUAACGGCUCACCAAGGCGACGAUGCGUAGCCGGCCUGAGAGGGUGACCGGCCACACUGGGACUGAGACACGGCCCAGACUCCUACGGGAGGCAGCAGUAGGGAAUCUUCCGCAAUGGGCGAAAGCCUGACGGAGCGACGCCGCGUGAGCGAAGAAGGCCUUCGGGUCGUAAAGCUCUGUUGUGAGGGACGAAGGAGCGCCGUUUGAAGAAGGCGGCGCGGUGACGGUACCUCACGAGGAAGCCCCGGCUAACUACGUG